AGGGUGUUCAUGUGUACAGGAAAUCACAGAGAGAAACAGGGACAAAGAAGUAACGUGGGAGAUGUUGGGUGUACACAUACCCUUUGUAUUUCAUCAUCCAACAUGGGGUACAGAUUAUAUGAAUAAGAAGCAGUUCUGAUUCAAAGAAGGCAGGCAACUUGGCAGUUGCAACUGCUCUCCUUGUCUGGCAGUCUCCUCACAGGGAAGAUGUCCAGAUCCAGCCUGCUGCUUCACACAGUGGACACUAGCCUAGCAGCCCUUCCGCACCAACAGUUGAGAAUGACAACAGCACAGCAAGCAUUACACGGUGAAAUACACAGCAUCCAGAAGUGUUAAUGUCCCCCACCCCUACCCCCAUGCAGGAUAACAAAAGAAUUGCAACAUGAAAUACACAGGAAUGACAUCACAUCCAACAUGCAAUAAUCCACAGCAUUCAGAAUGGAAUCCAACAGGAAUAGCAAGCAACAUAAAGAAAACCAACAUGAAACCCAGUGUCCACAGCAUCAUAAGUGUUAUCCCCUCCUCCCCCCCACACAUAGAAUGACCACCACAUGCAUUGCAACAAGCUGUUUGUGUGAGUGUGUUAAAAGAAACGGGGAACUCACCCUGAAGUCAUCUUCUGCUGCAGUGAUUCUCAAUCCCAGACCUCCUCCUUUUCUGUCUUCAGCUGGAGUCCAGGGAACUGCUGCCUGUGCCGAGUAGUCCCUGGCAUUACUCAACAGCCAGGGUUAGGGUAGCUGCUGGGCACACAGGGAGGGGAGCACCUAGCCACUCAAACCAUUAUAAAUCAAAAGAGUUGAAGCAACAAGCACUGAACUGAUCCAGCACAGAUCAAAGAAGGAAUCUCUUCCUCUCAGCACAGUCCUGAGUCCACCUUCAGUCCACUCCUUCAGCAUCAGCAGACACAGACACUACAGCAGCAGUUCUCCUCUAUCCACGAGGCAGAGGGAAAUGGCUGCCUCAGGACACCCCUUAAGUUCAUUCUUGAAAGUCCCUCCAUCUGCCCCCCACCCUCCCUUGUCCCUCCCCACAGCCAAUGCUACCACAGUUACCCCUGGCAACACAGGAAUUGUAGGAUAACAAGCCAAUCAAGAAGCAAGAGGGGAUCACCAACCAAUUGUUACACACUGCAAGGAACCAACCAGAGUUGGCAGAGAAGCUCAGAGGGAUAUGAUGCAAUGGCAAAGGAAAACUUGAAUCUCAAAUCGAUUCAAAUUAAAUUUCGGGAGUUUCAAUUCGAGUUCUGUUUUGGCCAGGGGUGCCAGGACAGAUUUGUUUCAAGCUUAUAUAAACCAAAUUCGAGUUGAAUUGAUUCAACCUCGAAAUGGUUUGCACAUCCCUACUGUGAACUGCAUUUUCAGUAGGCAUAAUAUCAUGCCACACAUAGCUAGUGUGGAUACACCUUUAAUUGUACACAUUUGAAAUGUUCCUUUCCAAGCUAUAGAAUAUAUUUCCUGUGUGCUUAAGUUUUAGAAUUCUAUACAGAGUCAGCCCUACUAGUCAUUCUGGAGACAUUCUGGAGUUUUAUGGUGUUCUCAGCAAAGUUUAGUUGCACAUGCUAGCAUAUCUGUUUCAGAGAAUGUUGAAAAUAGACAUUAUGCAGAUGUUAAAAUUCAGAAUAUGGGCAAUAUAUUUAUUUACCAGGGUUUCCCACUCCAGAAUAAAUUCAUCUUGCCUGAGUCAUAUUUCUCACUCAAAGUAUCAAAUGCCACAACAGCAAACUCCACAACGGAAUACUUGCUCAACUGGAAAACUUCAAUUAAUUUUGAAGCACCUUUAAUUACCAUGAUUGGUGAUGUACUCCUCAUACAGUUUUCUAAUUCUCAUGAACAUUAUUCAGUUAGUAAUAAUAAUUGCUUUAUACAUAUUUAAACAACUUCACAAUAAUUAAAUAAUUAAACAAUAUUACAUGAGUCAAGGAAGUUAUUCCAUGAGCAAAAGAAACAUAUUGCUUUAACAAAUUAAAAUAUAAAGUAGGAUAGAAUAGCUUUAAAAAACCACCCACAAAAACACAACCCUAAAGUGCUAAUGAAUAAGCAAUUGAGAAUUAUUGAUUCAAGAUUUGAUCUACUAAGGAAAUUUGAAAUCGGGACUAUAGAAAAGUAGCAGGAAGGAAGUGCCAGCACCAUAACAUCUGAUUACUUGUUCUUUCAGGAUAUGAAAGUCAUGAUUGGGAUGGGCUACACCAAAUUUUUGACAGUGUACAUUUUCAAGGUGAAAGGGCACAUUUUGGGGUGAGGUUUCAUAACCUCCAAUCAUUUUCACCUUUUUGCAUGGUAUUAGCUGCCUGUUCAUAUCUGCUUCUUUCCCAGGUCUGCAGCUUUGAUGCCAUAUUCAAAACAAAGGAACACCCCCCCCCAAA
Hemicordylus capensis (graceful crag lizard) is the source of this 2362-nucleotide long non-coding RNA. RefSeq lists it as uncharacterized. The transcript is spliced from 3 exons. NCBI's taxonomy places the organism in Eukaryota, Metazoa, Chordata, Lepidosauria, Squamata, Cordylidae. The record is from RefSeq and is a predicted model, not a curated record.